UUAUUGACGGAAUGAGCUGUGGCCUUGCUGUAUUUCAGGGGAAGAAAUUGAGAUCACAUUCAGUUACUGGGAUGGAUCUGGACAUCGGCGAACAGUGAAGAUGAAAAAGGGAAACACGAUACAGCAGUUCCUGCAGAAAGGGCUGGAGAUCCUGCGGAAAGAUUUCAGCGAGUUGAGGUCUGCUGGAGUCGAACAGCUUAUGUACAUCAAAGAGGAUCUCAUCAUUCCUCAUCAUCACACCUUCUACGACUUCAUCGUGACCAAGGCCCGGGGGAAAAGCGGUGAGU
Chiloscyllium plagiosum (whitespotted bambooshark) is the source of this 287-nucleotide non-coding RNA. The record is from RefSeq and is a predicted model, not a curated record. Lineage: Eukaryota; Metazoa; Chordata; Chondrichthyes; Orectolobiformes; Hemiscylliidae.